AACGAACGCUGGCGGCAUGCCUAACACAUGCAAGUCGAACGAGAUCUUCGGGUCUAGUGGCGCACGGGUGCGUAACGCGUGGGAAUCUGCCCUUUGGCUCGGAAUAACAGUUGGAAACGACUGCUAAUACCGGAUGAUGACGAAAGUCCAAAGAUUUAUCGCCAGAGGAUGAGCCCGCGUAGGAUUAGCUAGUUGGUGGGGUAAAGGCGCACCAAGGCGACGAUCCUUAGCUGGUCUGAGAGGAUGAUCAGCCACACUGGGACUGAGACACGGCCCAGACUCCUACGGGAGGCAGCAGUGGGGAAUAUUGGACAAUGGGCGAAAGCCUGAUCCAGCAAUGCCGCGUGAGUGAUGAAGGCCUUAGGGUUGUAAAGCUCUCUUACCCGGGAUGAUAAUGACAGUACCGGGAGAAUAAGCUCCGGCUAACUCCGUGCCAGCCGCCGCCGUAA
RNAcentral lists this ribosomal RNA (449 nucleotides) under uncultured bacterium. Its description in RNAcentral is "partial 16S ribosomal RNA". It matches the Rfam family "Bacterial small subunit ribosomal RNA", at positions 29 to 523 of the family's 1533-position model. The record is from RNAcentral.